GACGAACGCUGGCGGCGCGCUUAACACAUGCAAGUCGAGCGAAGCGGCGGACGGGUGAGUACCACGUGAGUAACCUGCAUUAGACAUUUGGAUAGCCUCGGGAAACCGGGAAUAAUACCAAAUGGUCUAAGAUGGACUCGCGUCCCAUUAGCUAGUUGGUGGGUAACGGGCCACCAAGGCGACGAUGGGUAGCCGGCCUGAGAGGGUGAACGGACACAUGGGAACUGAGAAACGGUCCAAACUCUACGGGAGGCAGCAGUGGUGAAUAUAGCACAAUGGAGGGAACUCUGAUGCAGCGACGCCGCGUGAGCGAAGAAGGCUGUCGAGUCGUAAAGUUCUUUUAUAUGGGAAGCGGUACCAUAAGAAAAAGCCCCGGCUAACUACGUGCCAGCAGCCGCGGUAAUUC
Molecule: ribosomal RNA, 406 nt
Filed under: uncultured bacterium
Lineage: Bacteria
Description: partial 16S ribosomal RNA
Rfam family: Bacterial small subunit ribosomal RNA
Source: RNAcentral